Molecule: long non-coding RNA, 3375 nt
Organism: Engraulis encrasicolus (European anchovy)
Lineage: Eukaryota; Metazoa; Chordata; Actinopteri; Clupeiformes; Engraulidae
Exons: 6
Source: RefSeq, a predicted model, not a curated record
GCAAACACCGUCUCACGCGCGAGAGGUGACAUGAAUUUCCUCACGCGCGCGAGCAGAAAUAUGAAUAUUUAAAUUAUCUCCUCCCACUGGUUAGCAUAACAAAUGAGGCGGAAGUUUGUUUAGUCCAUAGUAGUCAAACACAGAGAUCUCAGAUCUCAAUUGCUGAUAGACUAUCGUUGCUGCGGAAACUGCAAACGACCACCUUUGAAACACAACUGAAACGCAACUCACGGCUGCGCUGACAAGGGCAUUCACCUCUUUAUUAGUAAACCCAUUUUAUUUUUUGGUGGAUGAAAACAUUGUGUCAAUAUGCUAUGUCUAUGUUCGCCUUAUUCACCCGGAACGUUCUAAAGACGUUGAGGGGUACACUUCAGGGGUACAUUCGGCAACGCACCAGCUGUCAUGCCGCCUCAUUUUUGUGUGCCCAAAUGUUCGUCUUCAAAGAGAAAAAAAUCCUACCGUGGACAGACUUUCCACCGUUUCCCCAAAGAGCAGGCACUUCGCCGUGAAUGUAUAAAUCACAUCAAGAGGGAUCCUGGUCCAUAUUUCAAGAUCAACGCUGAGACCAAGGUUUGCUCUGAGCACUUUGAGAAGCAGUGUUUUGUAAAGACCGCCCGUGGUAUCACAAAGCUUAGGAUGCCGUACCACUUUGUUCGCCUGGACUUCAGAGAGGACAAAGAGGAGAAUCAUCAUUCGCAGACCGAGAGAUGAUGACCCAUUCCUGAAGUUGGACGCCAGAAUGCAGGAAGGUGCUGUUUAAGAGCCUAGGCGGUGGAAGAAGCACUUGCAGGUAUGCUACCGACCAGGCUCCUCAACAUCAAUCCGAGACGGAAGAUGAACCGGGAUGAAGCAGUUAGAUUGAGACAAGGCGGCCGGAAACUUUGAUGACCUCAAUGACACUGGCUAGGUGAAGGACAUCAAGAAAAUGGCAUCCGGUCACCAGACAUCAGCUCAUAAGCCACAACGUCAUCAACCAUUUUGCGCCAAAAAUGAAGCCGUUCACAUACCAUGGCAUCCUAAGCAGGCAGCACCACACUACUGUGCAACAGUGAGAGAGAGCGGGCAAGGACAAGUAAAACGGACCUACACUACAGCAAGACUUUGACACUUCUCCACGUGAGAGGCAGCCAUCGCCCCCACCGUGGAGCAGUGUGUACCCAGUACCCCCAAAAGAGGAGAUGAUCCGACGCCAUCACAGCCGAUUUCCAAAAUUGUACACCAAACUCUGUAUGGGUGUGUGUGUGUGUGUGAGAUAUUGUAAAACUUUUCAGUCCUUCUUCUAUACUAUACAGUGUAUAAAUAUGCAUUAAAAACCAUUACUGAGGUUAAGAAAUGCAUUAUAACAAAUACAUCUGAUUCAGGUGUACUGUACAUUGAAAUGUCUUUAUUUGCCACAAAUACAUCACAUCCUGGAAACCUGUACAAUGUGUGGAUUCAAAGGUCUGCCAGAUCUUUGUGAUGGCACAGGAUUGCAGUGGAACCCAAACAUAGCCUAGGAACUCCCACGCCAUCUCACCAACUGCCGAUAUGCAGUAUGCCUGAAUUUCCUGUACAGCAAAGAAAUGUAGAGAUUGUGCCUUCAUCGAGAAUAGGUCAUUUGGAAUCACAACAAUUAUUCAAUUUACUUUGUGCGUGUGGUGUAGCUAUUGCUGUUAUUAUGUUACUACUAGUGACCCAUUUAGUUGAGCUUAAUAGUCUACAUGACAUCUCUGCACUUGUGUUACCACUAUUGGGAUUGGCUGCUCCAUAAAUGAAAAUGAGAAAAACUUGCCCGGAUGAAAUGUUAUGAACUGUGUGCGUUGUGCUGCUUGCUGAAGUAACAUGACACCCACAUCACCUUCCAGAAAUAAAGUGUAUACAGGCUACCUAACCAGAGUCCUAGAGACCUGUUGCUGCUGUGUGAUGAAAUCCAGGCAAAGACCCACCUGCUUUGGCAAUUGCUGCAACAUGUAAAAAAGGUAGACAGAUUAGGCCCCUGUAGAUAUGGCAUGUGUAGAUGGAUUCACUUAAUUCUCUAACCACUUAAAUGGCUUGGGUCAGACAAGCUGGGCUGCACACUGACCUCUUCCAUGUUGCCCAUGUGGUUUCGUUGGCUGUGUGUGACCACCUCCGUACAGGGGCAGAUUUAUUUAUUUAUUUAUUAUUAUUUAUUUAUUUAUUAAAAUGUCUGCACCUUUUUAUUAAAUGUAUUGCAUUGCACUGGUAUCACAUUGCAUUAAAUGUACUAGCCAAGUGACACAAACAGAGCAGGUAAAUACAGUCUUGAUCUGUACCAUUUAUGUCACUUCUUAAAGAUUCAAUUAUUCAACUCUAUACUCGAAGAGGCCGGUAUUGCGCUACCAUUUUCCAUGAACCAGUCAACUUCUGGGAGUCAUUGCAGUACUUUGAGAAAGUGAUCUUACUUUCUAGCCUAAUCAUUCAUUGUGCUUGUGUCAGUAUUGUAGUGUCAUUGGUUAUUUACAGUGUGUCGACGCCAUCUACUGGAUACUCCACGCACGGUUCAUUUUCUAUCCACUUAAUCAUUUCAUUCCAAAGCACAGAGUGAGCUCUUUGAUGCAAUGUAGGCUAAAUUCACCCAGAGCUCUAGUUGUGUAUACCCGUUGGAUCGCUGAAUACAUAGCCUACAUUAAAUCCAUAUUUCAGCCUCCGGUCUCAAGUCAACUGCGGCCGUCUUGCCCAGUGUCGUCACCAGCUAUGGAGAACAGUGGCAAAAUGAAUGAUUGUUCCAACCGAUUUCAAUAAAGGGUUUCUGAUCUGACCGCUUGAAUUGACUAUCCAGCUCCCUCUUUUAUUGCAAUGCUUACCAGCAAAAGUAUCAAACACACUUGAAUCCUUACACAUUACAAAUAUCUGACUGGACCAUCGUAGGAAACAGGUUUGUACCGGUAGGCCUAUGUCUCUCAGUCAUGCAUCAUGCACGGAGCUGGAUUUCAGUGAAACAUUGCACUUACAAUAUGUUAACUUAAGGUCUAUGCAAACGUGCAUUUUGGUCUUCUUUGCAAAACAACUAUGUCAUCAUGCCAAAUACCUAGCCUGCUAACUUUAAGCUCUUAAAACACACUCGUCGUGAGCAAAAUGAAGCUUGACAGGAAUAGUCCUAGGCUACAACACGAACCAUAUUCAGUUGAUGAAAUGUCUACUCACUUUAUUCCUCAUCUGCUGUCUGCGAAUCUCAACAAGUUCGCCCAUGAAACAAACAUAUGUAUUAAAAACAAUGUUUUCAUAAAAAUGGGUAAGAAAUAGAGGUAAAUGCCCUUGUCAGCAACCUUCAGUCAUUCCACUCGUCAGUAAACGCGAGCUGCAGUCACCGUAGCAACGAUAUAAACAAUUGAUCUUGAUAUCUGUGUAUGACUAUUUCGGACUAAACAAACUUCC